CAUCAAUUACGAACCAAAAGGAGGCAUCAGCCCUGAGGAUUUAACAGGAAAAAAAAAAAAUGAUGAGCAACCAAUGAAGGUCACUGGUCUCAAGGAACACAUAAUCCUCACUACUAUACCUUCUAAAAGUCAGCCAACAAUUCUAUGCUCUGAAGAAGCAGUGACCUGUGUCAGUGGUGAAGAAAAAACAGGGCUGUGUUGGCCACUCCAUUGAGGACAACUCCUUAAGGCAUGAUGAAGGCUGCAGCUUCCAAACUGCUUCAGGAGGCAGGCCAUCAUGGAUAAGUACAGAGACUGGGCUGCCACCACUCAUCCUGUCCCUUCGGAUGUUCCUGGCACCUGAUACAGCUACAGUUUGGGGGGCACACUCCCCCUCCCUUGCUGUCCAAGGAUGCAAGCUCCUGGGUCUCUUUAUGGUAAACUGGACUUUACUGCUGAUCCAUAGGGAUGCAGGCAAAGAGAUCACGGUGUUCCCUGGGCUCCCAGGGAACGUUGUGGGCAGUAGACUCAGUACCUGUUUUGACUUAUGGAGGAGUUGGCCACACCCGUUCUUGAGGUCAUUCAAGGAAAAGGCAAGGCCUGCGGUUGGCAUUCCCCAUAGACACACACGAAAUCCUGCUUCCCUGACGUAAUGACGCUGAGAAGAUAAAAUCAGGGUGUUUCCACAGAAGCCCUCUAGGGGUCUCAGGGCUGGAGCCCAAGGUUUAGGUGCCAACCUAGCCUUGUUAUGCCACAGGCCCAAGCUUAUCCUAAGAAAUUCUACGUUCUUCCCUUGAGCAGACUCCAGGCUGGGUCAGGCUCCCGGAGGGGUACAUCUUCCCAUUUGUGACUUUCAGACAUCCUUGAUCACAUGUGGUGGCCUUGAGGAUUGUUUUCUAGAGCUUUCACUGGGAAAGCCUCUCCUCCCUGUCCACCUGUAUAAGUUUCUUCACUUGCUCAUUUAAGGAACGAGGACUGCAGCCCUGUGCUAUUUCCCAGACACUCUGUGAUGUCUCUUAGAGCUCAGAGAUUAAUGAGGUCACACCUGGACCCUGAAAGGCAUCACAGUAUCAAGUGGAAACAGACCACUUCUUGAAGUACAUGUGGCAUGAUGUAGUGAGGACAUGGGGUAGCUAGAGGCCAUCCUUGGUUCUCCCUAUUACAGAGGAGAUCUAACCCCUUCUGCUCCUUCUGGCUCAACCCAUCUUUGGGAGGUCAUAUUGGCUAGGACCCAUUCUCUCUCCCUUGACUUCUUUUUCAGCAAGUAAUAAACCCUAUCUUAUCAAUUCUAUGCUGUGCAUAUUUUAAAAGCCAUUUACCAAAUCUGAAAAUG
Non-coding RNA from Odocoileus virginianus texanus, 1312 nucleotides. The record is from RefSeq and is a predicted model, not a curated record. NCBI's taxonomy places the organism in Eukaryota, Metazoa, Chordata, Mammalia, Artiodactyla, Cervidae.